This 253-nucleotide ribosomal RNA is filed under the name uncultured bacterium. Its description in RNAcentral is "partial 16S ribosomal RNA". It matches the Rfam family "Bacterial small subunit ribosomal RNA", at positions 524 to 776 of the family's 1533-position model. The record is from RNAcentral.
UACGUAGGUGACAAGCGUUAUCCGGAAUUACUGGGCGUAAAGCGUGCGCAGGCGGUUUUGUAAGCCAGAUGUGAAAUCCCCGGGCUUAACCUGGGAAUGGCAUUUGGGACUGCAAGGCUUGAGUGCGGCAGAGGAGACUGGAAUUCCCGGUGUAGCAGUGAAAUGCGUAGAUAUCGGGAGGAAUACCGAUGGCGAAGGCAGGUCUCUGGGCUGACACUGACGCUCAUGCACGAAAGCGUGGGGAGCAAACAGG